Long non-coding RNA from Chinchilla lanigera (long-tailed chinchilla), 471 nucleotides. RefSeq lists it as uncharacterized. The transcript has 3 exons. Lineage: Eukaryota; Metazoa; Chordata; Mammalia; Rodentia; Chinchillidae. The record is from RefSeq and is a predicted model, not a curated record.
AGAUGAGGCUGAGAAGGAAACCUUGGAGUACACCGGAGAGCAGUGUGUGCCUGGGGGAGGACAGCAGGCAAUCGGGAGCCACCGUCAGAUGGGAAAUGACAGUUGGGAAAUUCUACUUUAGAGGGAGGAGGUGGAGUGCCGGACGGUGAGAGAAGUAGGUGGGUGGGAGAGGAGGCUGAAAGAAGAUGGAAAGACAUGAUAAAGGAACCUCUUCCCUGCAGAGCCUGUGCCAGCCGGAGUCUUCACCCGCUGCCCUGCCAGCCCGACCCAGACAGCCCUUCCCGGAGGGGCAGCGGAGGUCAGGGAGAGGAGCACACUGGCCAGGCAGCGGGAGACGCCAGGGGAAGUUAAACAAACAGGGAAACAGCGUCUGAACAGCUUCUGGUUGCGGCCCGACACAGCUGUUUACCUUGCACGGUGAGGUCCCGUUUGUGCAAAUUAAAAUUCUCUGUAGUGUACUUGCCUGGACCC